UAUUUUGAUAUUCUGUUUUUUAUUUGGGGCCCUUCUUCUUUUGUUUCCCUGUUUCUUUUUGUUCUGUCCGCAUUCUAGAUAAGGAGAUGAAACAAAAAUUUACAAUUGAUACAUGCAAGUAAAAGAUCACAAAUAAGUCAA
Molecule: non-coding RNA, 141 nt
Filed under: Protocruzia adhaerens
Lineage: Eukaryota; Ciliophora; Spirotrichea
Source: RNAcentral